CUCGGUAAAUGAAUGAGGAGAGCCCCAUGUGGGAUUACAAACUUGCUGGAAAUGGAUGAGAAACCUUCUGCUCUGCUGGAGUUUAUCUUGAGUGUGCCUUAAAAUUCCAUUUCAUGGAGAACUGUGCGUGGUUGAAUUUUGAUUGAUUACUCAAUUAACUGAUGUAUUGGUAGAGUGAUUAAGAAAGAAGACUUUGGGAUCAGACCAACCUGGUUUUGAAUUCAAGCUCAGCAACUUACUAGGUAAGGAGGAGAAAAGAAAGAAGGAAAAAUUGGAAAGAUAAAUGGGGUCUUUCCAGUGAAGCUGCAGUUAUGGCAUUAACCACCCAGUUGUUACCUACUUCUAGAUGAAAGCUCAAUUUUCCUACAUAAUUAAGAGUUUGGAAUUCGGGCAAUAUCAAGAACCACAUCUGUCCUGAAAUCAAUUAUCUCUGUUUGGAAUAUGGAUAUGAGAGAUCACUUUGCUGUGCUGUAAAUGAUCGAUUAAAAUACAUAUUUCUAAACACAAGAAAUAAGAAGACCAUUUUGAGAAGAACAGAGAGUAGCCUUAAGAAAAUCCCUGUCGCAAGCACUCUGGGAUUUGGACUCAAAUGCUAAUUAUACAAGUGAGAAUAAUAUAAACACUGAAGAAAAAUAUGGUCCCGUAGCUUUUCAUUGGAAAAUCUGUUGAGACAUGCAGAGCUGAGGCAUCUGGAUAUCUACCCUGCAAAAUCCCUAGAGAUGAGGAAAUUGAGAUACAGAAAGGUGAAGAAAUAAUGUCACAUAGUAGUGGAGUCAGAAUAAAAAUGCAGACAGGUAGGAAACCAGAGGCUCCGGCAAGUGAAGUGACUUGCUCAAGGUCAAAGAUAUGGAACCACUUGGGUGCCCAGCUGCUGUCCAUUCUCUACACUUAUCCCACCUGAUGGAAGGCUGUUAAGAAAAACAUCACUGCAAUGCCUAAUAAACAGACAUGGGUCCCAGACCCAAUAAGAGUGAAACCAUCCCCCUAUUUAAAUGAAAUUAUGGCUGAUGAGAAAGACAAAUUAAUUUCUCUGUCCCUAGUAUUACACAAAACUUUGGAUGCUGCCAUUGUUACAAUUUUAUUUUCCCCAGGAGCUCAGAGUCCCACCUUCAUUCUUUUUGUUUAAUGCUUAAGCUUGCCUGUCCACCUAUGGAAGACUAGAAUGAGCAAAGACCAUGUAUUCAAUGAUCUGUAAAUCUAACAGGAAACAAUAUAAUAAAUAUAUUGUGUUUGCUAACCAAA
This 1242-nucleotide long non-coding RNA is filed under the name Homo sapiens (human). Its description in RNAcentral is "novel transcript". The record is from RNAcentral. Lineage: Eukaryota; Metazoa; Chordata; Mammalia; Primates; Hominidae.